RNAcentral lists this unclassified non-coding RNA (208 nucleotides) under Hevea brasiliensis (rubber tree). The record is from RNAcentral. Lineage: Eukaryota; Viridiplantae; Streptophyta; Magnoliopsida; Malpighiales; Euphorbiaceae.
UGGUGGUUCAAGCAUUCCCGAAAUUGACCCAUACUUCUUCUAGUCAAACAUGUAAGUGCCUAAGAAGGUCCAUAAAGUUUAGUGUCAAACUGAACUUUGCUGUUCAAUUUACAAACGUCAAACCAGAAAAGCUGCAUUCAAGCAAAAACUCUUUCUGAUUUGAGACAAAUAUGAAUAUGUCCCAAAUGAAAGAAAGACGUAGCCACUA